CAGGCCACGUUGCUGGGAACACCUGAGCUCCCCACGGCGACCCUCAAACAGCCUGGGGUGCGAGCGUAGGAGGGGCCCCGGAUGCUGAGUGUGCUCCUGAGGGCUGUCCCCGGGGCGUCCUGUCGCAGGGGACGCACUGGGCACCCUGCUCCUGGAGGGCGGGAGAGAGCCGCUGACAGAGCCGCAAGAGGCCAGCAGGGGGCGCACGGGACAGGCAGGAGCAGGGCAGUGCGGCCCCACCCGGGCUCCCCCACCGGCGGGUCUGCACCGGGCUAGGCCAGGAGGUCCCCAAAUCUGUCCCAGGAGACUUGAGAUCCUCUGGCCUGGGGGACAGAUGUGCUCCGUGUGCUGCAGGGAUGCCGAGGACCAACCUUGAGUGGCAUUGCCUGGGGGCCAACCGAGCUGGGCUAUCUGAGACACCUCUGUGAGCCAUUUGUGGGCAUUUGAAUUUUAUUAAAACUAAAACUGAGGGCCGGGGAUUUAGCUCAGUGGUUCUGUGCCUGCCUCGAAAGCACAAGGUACUAAGUUCGGAUCCCGGUGCAGGAAAAAACCAAAACAAAAACUAAAGUUGAAAAUGCAGUCCCCCAGUGUCAAGUGUGCAGCAGCUGUGCAGACUAGUAGCUGCGUAGCUCAGGAGUGACGGCAGGCCCAGGAGGUGACUGCCCACCCAUACCCCUGGGAGCGGCACUCCCUUCUAUCUGCAGCCUCCAGCUAGAGAAACAGCCAAGUCAGAGCUGGGAGCUGAGCUGGGUCCUAACUCCUGAAGCAGAGCUCCCUCUACUGGACGCAAAGGAGGCAACAGCGCACGGAUGGAGACAGGCGGGAGGAUGAAGCUGGAUAGGUUAUGCUCAGGUGGACGGGGCCCUGUGCAAGCCCUGUCGAUCAGCCAAGCCAUGAACUGAGGGCCCCAAGUGCACCUGGGCAUGGUGGCACACGUUUGUAAUUCCAGCACGUGGGAGGCUGAGGCAGGAGGAUCACCGUGAGUUUGAGACCAACCUGGGCUAUGUAGUGAGUUAAAGCCCAGCCUGGACUACAUAGAGAGACCCUGUCUCAAAAAUAAACAAAUAAACAAAAGUUGGGAGGAGGAGGGAGGGCAGAGGUUCCAAGAUGGCCAAGUGUCCAGGCUCCUGGGAAGCGGUAUGAAGCCUCUCUCCAAGGGUCUCAUCCUCACCACACAGGGGCAGAUGGCAGGCUCUAGCCCUCAGGAAGCCUGCUGGCAGCUGUGAUCCCAGAGUGUCUUCCCUGUGUAUGCCACCAUUCCUGACAUGUGCUGUUCUCUCUCAGACCCACCUAAAUGGGUGGACUUCAUCUUGGCCCGUGUUUCACAGCCCCUAGCUACCCAGGACUCUUCCUUGGGGCAUCAGACAGCCCUCCUUGUUUUGUGGCAGGCCAGCCUUUCCCAAUUUUAGAUCAGGGCCCCAGGGACACCCAACUGGGAUCAUGGGACCUGGAGCUCCGCCCCCCCCCCGGUGAUCCACCAAGAUCUCAGUCAUGUUCACUCGGCACAGUGCUCCGCCUGCACAUGCUUUGCACAGGACUGUGCAGUGUUUGCCAGCCUGCCAUGCCUGACACCCUACACUCAGCCAGCGCUCAGAUCUGUCCUUCAGCAGAUCUGAGUCUCAUGAAGAUGCUACCCCAUGCUAGAAAGGAAGAAAGAAAAAAAGCCAACGGAGAAGUCAGGGUGUGCAGUAGCCCUGGGGUGGCAGAGGUGGAUAGGGCAGGAAGAGCUGGGUUAACACCCGCUAAGAGGGCUGUCCAGGCUGGGGACCUUAUGGGGCCGAGGGGAGAACUAGGAGGCAGAAAGGAGUUGUCUAUCCUUCAACAAAGACCAACGGCCUCUUGCGUGGCCUGUGCUAGGAUACAGAGGAUGGCUGAAUUCCCUUUUCCUCUGGGGGAAGAAAUUGGGGUUCAGAAUCUAACGUGCCGCUUUGACUAUAAGCUGGCAAGCUCCUUGCAGGUCCCAGAGGUCACUCACACAGCCGUCGCGGGAAGCCAGCCAAGCUCUCCCCAGCUGCUUCUGAAGGCGCGGCCCAGGGGCAGAGGAACAAUUGGCCGCUGUUGCCCGCUUUCUGCUCAGUGAGUGCAGCCGCAGACACCCCGUGUGACUUUCCGGCUGGACCCUCCCAAUCCUUGCUGGGCCCGCCCCUCCGCGCGAAACUGGGACCCGAGCGCAAAAUCAGACGCAGGGGACGGUAGCGCGCAGGCGUGGCAGCGGCGGCCCGACGGCGAUCCCGGCCUGCUCUGCGAGCUGACGUCGCGC
Long non-coding RNA from Heterocephalus glaber (naked mole-rat), 2260 nucleotides. The record is from Ensembl. NCBI's taxonomy places the organism in Eukaryota, Metazoa, Chordata, Mammalia, Rodentia, Bathyergidae.